Molecule: unclassified non-coding RNA, 352 nt
Filed under: soil metagenome
Description: partial contains 5.8S ribosomal RNA, internal transcribed spacer 2, and large subunit ribosomal RNA
Rfam family: 5.8S ribosomal RNA (bases 1-120)
Source: RNAcentral
GAUGAAGAACGCAGCGAAAUGCGAUAAGUAAUGUGAAUUGCAGAAUUCAGUGAAUCAUCGAUUCUUUGAACGCACAUUGCGCCCGCCAGUAUUCUGGCGGGCAUGCCUGUUCGAGCGUCAUUACAACCCUCAGGCCCCCGGGCCUGGCGUUGGGGAUCGGCGGAAGCCCCCUGUGGGCACACGCCGUCCCUCAAAUACAGUGGCGGUCCCGCCGCAGCUUCCAUUGCGUAGUAGCUAACACCUCGCAACUGGAGAGCGGCGCGGCCAUGCCGUAAAACACCCAACUUCUGAAUGUUGACCUCGAAUCAGGUAGGAAUACCCGCUGAACUUAAGCAUAUCAAUAAGCGGAGGA